RNAcentral lists this long non-coding RNA (2519 nucleotides) under Homo sapiens (human). RNAcentral's name for it is "non-protein coding lnc-WFS1-3:3". Lineage: Eukaryota; Metazoa; Chordata; Mammalia; Primates; Hominidae. The record is from RNAcentral.
UGAGCUGCCGGAGCGUGCGCACUGGGCCAGCGGGCGGCCGGGGCAGGGCUGGGGUCCCGGCGCUGAGCGCCCCCAGCCGCGCCGGGCAGCCUGGCGCCUCGCUGAGUCGGAGCAACCCCCGGCAGGAGCUUUCAGGCUCUGGUCAAGCCUCGGGACCCGGGAAGCUAUCCCUGCCCUCGGGGGCUCGAGCCUGGAGUGGGGCUUGCAGGUAAAGCGGGGCUGGGGCCGUCCUGGCCGUCAGUGGUCAGGAAGACGCAGCGACCCCGGAGAUCCAUGUCCCCCUCUGUACGCAUGAGAGGUCUGAAGGUCAGAGGUUAAAGCGCACGCUAACGGCGGCAGAGCCAGCAAGCGGCAGAGCUGGGCGGAUGCCAGCCUAGGGAGCCUCCCCCCACCAGCCCAGGCUGCCCCCAGCAAAGCCACAUCAGCAGGUCAUAGCCAAAUGAAAGAUGUGCUGUCGAGCUGAGACUUGGGAGGGGCAGGACUCAGCUGGGCAAACAUUCAUUCAGUGUCAUUAGACAAAUAUUUAUUGAGCACUUGCUGUGUGCCAGGUAGUCACUAAGAUGUGGGGACACCACAGUGAACAGCAGAGAGGAAGCGGCUGCCCACCAGAGCUUACUUUCUAGCAAGGAGAAGGCAGGGAAGAGCACCCACCAAAGGGAGCAGCAUGGGGGAACACCCUGACUGCUGUGAACGGGACAUAUUUGAGAAUCUGAUAAAAGUAUCUGGGCCACAGAAUGGUGAGAGGGAGUGUGUGGAAGAUGGGGGGCGGGGGCACAGAGGGGCAGCACUUGCAAGGUCUUGCAGGCUGGCGAGAGUUUGGAGACUGUCUCACCUGGAAGGUGGUCCCAUGGACCAUUGUCAGAUUGAUAUUUUUUAAAGUGCAUCAGUCAGGAUAAGCUAUGUUAGCCACAGUAACAACCAAACCCAAAUCUCCCUGGUGUGUCUUGCCCACAUCAUACAUCCUGCCUCGGUCAAUGGGGCUCUGUUCAUCAGAGUGGUUGGGAGCCCAAGCUGCUGGGGCUGUCUGCCAGCCGAGCACCCACAUGGUGCAGCAAUGUGAAUGAAAGGUGACAAUUAUGCUGGCUUUGAAGGCUUCCUCCCCGAAGGGACUCUCGUCACUUCUGCUCACGUUUCAUUGGCCAGAGCAGGUCACAUGGCCAUGCCUAACUUCAGAAGAGGAGGAAGUGCAGACCUCUAAGGUUCAGGGGGUCAGGAGGAACUAGGAUAUCUGUGAGCAGAUGUGAGACUAUCUUUAGCAGAUGCCCUGGCUGCCCUUGGGGCAUGGGCUGAAGUAGUCAAGAGUGGGGACAAGGAGGCAGUGUGGGGGCCUCCUCCACGCUGAUACAGUGAAGUAUCAGCGCAUCAGAGCAAUCUGGGUGCAGAAUUGGCAGGACAUGCUCACGGCUUGGACGUGGACAGGAGGGAGGGAGGGACAAUCAGGGACAAUGCCCAGGUAUCCUGGGAUGAAUUGUGUUCCCCCCACCCACCCCCUCAAAAAAAAAAACUCGUAUGUUGAAGUGCUCACUCCCAGGACCUCAGAAUAUGACCUUACUUGGAAAUAGGGUCGUUGUAGAUGUAAUUAGCUAAGAUGAGGUCACAAUGGAGUAGGUUGGAUUCCUAAUCCAGUCUGCCUUCUAUCCUUAUAAAAGGGGGAAAUUGGAUACAGAGACACAAGCAACGGGAGCAUGCCGUGUGAACAUGAAGGUAGAGAUCAGGUCGAGGCAUCAGCUAGCCAAGGAAAUGCCAAAGAUGGGAGCAAACCCCCGGAAGCCAUGAGAGCGGCCUGGGACAGAUCCUUCCCCAGGGCUUCAUAGGGAGCGUGGACCAGCUGACACCUGAUUUCAGACUUCUAGCUUACAGAAGUGAGACAGUGCAUUUCUGUUGUUUAAAAAGCCCAGCUGGUGGUACUUCGAUACAUGUGUGUAGAUUAAGGGUUAUGUCUGGCUGUGAGUAAUCGGGAUCACAACUAGACAGCGGCUUAAACAGAUUUUUAUUCUCUCUUAACAAGAAAUGCAAAGGCAAGCUGUUCCUCACUUUAUCCUCUCUCACUCCUUCACCCUCAGGAUGUAAUUUUCUUUUUCAAAAUGUCUUCUACGUGGCAAGUUGGCUGCCUCUUCCCAGACAUCUCAUCACUAUUCCAGUCAAGAAGGGGAAGAACAAAAGGCAUACCCACACUAGGUCAGCUCCACUUCACCGCUUUCCUGAAAACUCUCCCCAGAGAGCUCUGUUUUAUCUCAUUGGCUGGGACGGUGUCUCAUGGCCAGCCCUGGCUUCAGAGGAGGCUGGGAGUAUUGUUAUUAUUUUUUAAGAUGGUGUCUUGCUCUGUUGUCCAGUUUGGAGUGCAAUGGCGUGAUCUUGGCUCAUUGCAACCUCCGCCUCCCGGGUUCAAGUGAUUCUCCUGCCUCAGCCUCUCAAGUAGCUGGGAUUACAGGCCCACACCACCACACCCAGCUAAUUUUUGUAUUUUUAGUAGAGAUGGAGUUUUGCCAUGUUGGCCAAGCUGGUCUCAAACUGCAGAC